GGGGUCGUAGUUCAGUUGGUUAGAAUGCCGGCCUGUCAAGCCGGAGGUCGCGGGUUCGAGUCCCGUCGGCCCCGCCA
This 77-nucleotide transfer RNA is filed under the name Acidobacteriota bacterium. RNAcentral's name for it is "tRNA-Asp". It matches the Rfam family "tRNA". From Rfam's summary of the family: Transfer RNA (tRNA) molecules are approximately 80 nucleotides in length. Lineage: Bacteria; Pseudomonadati; Acidobacteriota. The record is from RNAcentral.